RNAcentral lists this ribosomal RNA (492 nucleotides) under uncultured bacterium. RNAcentral's name for it is "partial 16S ribosomal RNA". It matches the Rfam family "Bacterial small subunit ribosomal RNA", at positions 29 to 507 of the family's 1533-position model. The record is from RNAcentral.
AGUGAACGCUGGCGGUAGGCCUAACACAUGCAAGUCGAACGGCAGCACAGUAAGAGCUUGCUCUUACGGGUGGCGAGUGGCGGACGGGUGAGGAAUACAUCGGAAUCUACUUUUUCGUGGGGGAUAAUGUAGGGAAACUUACGCUAAUACCGCAUACGACCUACGGGUGAAAGCAGGGGAUCUUCGGACCUUGCGCGAUUGAAUGAGCCGAUGUCGGAUUAGCUAGUUGGCGGGGUAAAGGCCCACCAAGGCGACGAUCCGUAGCUGGUCUGAGAGGAUGAUUCGCCACACUGGAACUGAGACACGGUCCAGACUCCUACGGGAGGCAGCAGUGGGGAAUAUUGGACAAUGGGCGCAAGCCUGAUCCAGCCAUACCGCGUGGGUGAAGAAGGCCUUCGGGUUGUAAAGCCCUUUUGUUGGGAAAGAAAAGCAGCAGGUUAAUACCCCGCUGUUCUGACGGUACCCAAAGAAUAAGCACCGGCUAACUUCGUG